This is a long non-coding RNA of Suricata suricatta (meerkat), 541 nucleotides long. RefSeq lists it as uncharacterized. The record is from RefSeq and is a predicted model, not a curated record. The transcript is spliced from 2 exons. NCBI's taxonomy places the organism in Eukaryota, Metazoa, Chordata, Mammalia, Carnivora, Herpestidae.
GAAGGGUGCUCCAGGUGGGCCACAGAAAAUGCCCAGUCCACACCAGCUCCCGCAGUCGCUAGUGCUAGGACCGGGAAAGGGGCUGAGCAGAGCCUGGAACGCCUACAGCCUCACAGCCCAGUGGUUUUCGAACUUAAGAGCAUUGGCCACACCUGGAGCACCCAGUCCCUGACACAGCACAGGGGAUGAGGAUCUGCAACCGUAAAAGUUCCAGCCUUCCACGUGCCUGGCACUGGCCUGGGCACCAAAUGUGAAGUACGUCACUUGAUCCUCAGGGCACCCCUGCAAGGCAGCUGUGGGGAGGUGAAGUAACAAGGUGAAGGUCACGUGCUGGAAAGUCAGCGCUGAGGUGCCAAGGACAAUGGCUGGCACCCAGGCCUUUGCACCAACCGUUGCAAGCAUGUGUUUUACCUGUGACACAGAGAGGAAGCUCGAUGACUGUGACUUUCUUUCCUUCUACCUUUUUGCUUCUGAAACCCCAGGGCCAGGCAAGCAUCAGGCACAUAAGAAGUGUUCAGUAAAGGUCUCUGGGAUGAAUGAA